AUCAUCGUUUUUACUGGCUUUCUCUCGCCCACUUGGCGGAGGCUGCCUUUGGGAAAGGGAAGGGCACGUCUGGGGCCCUCCUGCCACCCUUGGAAGCACAAGCCUCCAGAGGAGGGAGGGAGUGGGGCACCCCUCUGUGUCCCGACUGUUUGGCAGACACAGUGCUGAUUCCAAGGAGACGGCCUGGGGCCACCAGGCCAAGAGGCCGGACCCUGCCUCCUCCCAGCUCGGGCCGGAGCGGAUUGGAUGCGCUGGGGCUGGGAUCCCGUUCUGGCGGGGUCCCAGCAGUGGGCAGGGGACGCCCAGGGAGGGCGAGUGUUAGCGCUCUGCUUUGCUGGCCCCCUUGGUCCACCCGUAGCCCACUUGGCGUGGGACCCGAGAUGUCCAAAUCCUCUCUGUCACUUCCUGGACCUGUGGCCUCUGGCCCACGACACCUCCUCCUGGGAGCCUCCCAGGAGGCCCAGCCAGCUUCUAGGGCACCUCCAGCUCUGCUCUGCUCCAUCUUGGUCUGUAUUUUGACCCAAGUUCUUUCUAGAAAGGGACAUGUCCCUUCCCUUGUCAGGACACCCCUGCUCUUGCUAAGCGAGUGCUCUGCUCAUGGGGUGCCAGCACUGGGGCGGAGAGGUCACAGGUGUGACCUUGCUUCCUGCUCAGCACCAGCCUGAUGGGCCCCAAAGUUUCCCAAGUGUCAAACGUGUGCCAGGCACUGUUCUAGGUGCUGGCACUCGAUGGGAGACAAAACAGGCCUGGCAGAGGGGAGGGAUGGAGGCAGCCGAGUGGGUGUCUG
RNAcentral lists this long non-coding RNA (787 nucleotides) under Marmota monax (woodchuck). Lineage: Eukaryota; Metazoa; Chordata; Mammalia; Rodentia; Sciuridae. The record is from RNAcentral.